This 253-nucleotide unclassified non-coding RNA is filed under the name uncultured Caryophanales bacterium. RNAcentral describes it as "uncultured Bacillales bacterium contains 16S-23S intergenic spacer region". It matches the Rfam family "Bacterial small subunit ribosomal RNA", at positions 524 to 776 of the family's 1533-position model. The record is from RNAcentral. Lineage: Bacteria; Bacillati; Bacillota; Bacilli; Caryophanales.
UACGUAGGUGGCAAGCGUUAUCCGGAAUUAUUGGGCGUAAAGCGCGCGCAGGCGGCUCCAUAAGCCUGAUGUGAAAGCCCACGGCUCAACCGUGGAAGGUCAUUGGGAACUGGGGAACUUGAGUGCAGAAGAGGAGAGCAGAAUUCCACGUGUAGCGGUGAAAUGCGUAGAUAUGUGGAGGAACACCAGUGGCGAAGGCGGCUCUCUGGUCUGCAACUGACACUGAGGCGCGAAAGCGUGGGUAGCGAACAGG